RNAcentral lists this transfer RNA (73 nucleotides) under Ailuropoda melanoleuca (giant panda). It matches the Rfam family "tRNA". Rfam says of the family: Transfer RNA (tRNA) molecules are approximately 80 nucleotides in length. Lineage: Eukaryota; Metazoa; Chordata; Mammalia; Carnivora; Ursidae. The record is from Rfam by way of RNAcentral.
GCCUGGCUGGCUCAUUCGGUAGAGCAUGCCACUCCUGAUCUCAGGGUUGUGAGUUCAAGUCCCACGUCGGGCG